RNAcentral lists this ribosomal RNA (516 nucleotides) under uncultured bacterium. RNAcentral describes it as "partial 16S ribosomal RNA". It matches the Rfam family "Bacterial small subunit ribosomal RNA", at positions 28 to 523 of the family's 1533-position model. The record is from RNAcentral.
GACGAACGCUGGCGGCAUGCCUAAUACAUGCAAGUCGAGCGGACUUGAUGAGAAGCUUGCUUCUCAGAUAGUUAGCGGCGGACGGGUGAGUAACACGUAGGCAACCUGCCCUCAAGCUUGGGACAACUACCGGAAACGGUAGCUAAUACCGAAUACUUGUUUUCUUCGCCUGAAGGAAACUGGAAAGACGGAGCAAUCUGUCACUUGGGGAUGGGCCUGCGGCGCAUUAGCUAGUUGGUGAGGUAACGGCUCACCAAGGCGACGAUGCGUAGCCGACCUGAGAGGGUGAUCGGCCACACUGGGACUGAGACACGGCCCAGACUCCUACGGGAGGCAGCAGUAGGGAAUCUUCCGCAAUGGGCGAAAGCCUGACGGAGCAAUGCCGCGUGAGUGAUGAAGGUUUUCGGAUCGUAAAGCUCUGUUGCCAGGGAAGAACGCUUGGGAGAGUAACUGCUCCCAAGGUGACGGUACCUGAGAAGAAAGCCCCGGCUAACUACGUGCCAGCCGCCGCGGUAA